GACGAACGCUGGCGGCGUGCCUAAUACAUGCAAGUAGAACGCUGAAGGAGGAGCUUGCUCUUCUGGAUGAGUUGCGAACGGGUGAGUAACGCGUAGGUAACCUGCCUGGUAGCGGGGGAUAACUAUUGGAAACGAUAGCUAAUACCGCAUAAAAUUGAUUAUUGCAUGAUAGUCAAUUAAAAGGUGCAAUUGCAUCACUACCAGAUGGACCUGCGUUGUAUUAGCUAGUUGGUGAGGUAACGGCUCACCAAGGCAACGAUACAUAGCCGACCUGAGAGGGGGAUCGGCCACACUGGGACUGAGACACGGCCCAGACUCCUACGGGAGGCAGCAGUAGGGAAUCUUCGGCAAUGGACGGAAGUCUGACCGAGCAACGCCGCGUGAGUGAAGAAGGGUUUCGGAUCGUAAAGCUCUGUUGUAAGAGAAGAACGAGUGUGAGAGUGGAAAGUUCACACUGUGACGGUAUCUUACCAGAAAGGGACGGCUAACUACGUG
This 495-nucleotide ribosomal RNA is filed under the name uncultured bacterium. RNAcentral's name for it is "partial 16S ribosomal RNA". It matches the Rfam family "Bacterial small subunit ribosomal RNA", at positions 28 to 507 of the family's 1533-position model. The record is from RNAcentral.